ACACUAACGCCGCAUUCACACCAGAUCUGUGGUGUGUGUGUUGUCACAGCUGUGGCGUGUGUGUGUGUGGCGGUAGUGUCUCAACUUAUGUGU
This is a long non-coding RNA of Alosa sapidissima (American shad), 93 nucleotides long. RefSeq lists it as uncharacterized. Lineage: Eukaryota; Metazoa; Chordata; Actinopteri; Clupeiformes; Clupeidae. The record is from RefSeq and is a predicted model, not a curated record. The transcript has 4 exons.